GCGUUGUGUGUGUGUGUGUGUGUGUGUGUGUGUGUGUGUGUGUGUCGAAACUGCAUGAUGACGCCCACAAAGCACAUAUCAG
This 82-nucleotide microRNA precursor is filed under the name Aedes aegypti (yellow fever mosquito). Its description in RNAcentral is "partial AAEL017769-RA". Lineage: Eukaryota; Metazoa; Arthropoda; Insecta; Diptera; Culicidae. The record is from RNAcentral.